This is a non-coding RNA of Triticum aestivum (bread wheat), 143 nucleotides long. The record is from Rfam. NCBI's taxonomy places the organism in Eukaryota, Viridiplantae, Streptophyta, Magnoliopsida, Poales, Poaceae.
UUACUACUCCCUCCGUCCGGAAUUACUUGUCAUCAAAAUGGAUGAAAAUGGGUGUAUCUAUGAAAAUGGGUGUAUCUAGAACUAAAAUACAUCUAGAUACAUCCAUUUCAAUGACAAGUAUUUCCGUACGGAGGAAGUACAUU